GGGCUUGUAGUUCAGCUGGUAGAACGCUGCCCUUGCAAGGCAGAGGCCACGGGUUCAAAUCCCGUCGAGUCCA
This 73-nucleotide transfer RNA is filed under the name Candidatus Aenigmarchaeota archaeon ex4484_52. RNAcentral's name for it is "tRNA-Ala". It matches the Rfam family "tRNA". Rfam says of the family: Transfer RNA (tRNA) molecules are approximately 80 nucleotides in length. The record is from RNAcentral. RNAcentral also lists the same sequence under 2 other names. Lineage: Archaea; Nanobdellati; Candidatus Aenigmatarchaeota.